Molecule: long non-coding RNA, 616 nt
Organism: Onychostoma macrolepis
Lineage: Eukaryota; Metazoa; Chordata; Actinopteri; Cypriniformes; Cyprinidae
Exons: 3
Source: RefSeq, a predicted model, not a curated record
UUGCCCUGCACCGUGUCUAACGCCGCAGCAGCUUGGGACUGACUACUGGAUGUUACAUCGCUUCUAAUGAUUGGAAAAUCCGUUUGUAGCCUACUUCGUGUCAGAAACAGCGCGAGCGCUUGGAGUACAUCUGUACAUCAGCAAUAUACCGGGGCAUCACAUUACUGUCCGCAUCCACUGUAGAUAAUAUAUAUAAUGGUCUCUAUGUUUUUUUUUUUUUUUAUCGAGUCGCGCCUCGCCGCGCCACUCGCAUCCGAGAAAGACACGGAAGCAGCGGGCAGCGCUGCGGGUUUUGCCCGGGGAUGAACACGCCAGAGUGGGAGAGCUCCGGAGAACAUCUGCGCUGUGUGUCGAUGCACUUUACGAGAGAAAAAGACCAGCAAGCAAGGCAACUGCAAUGAAGCAUCAAGAAAGACAUGAGCAGGCCAGCCACCCUGAGACUGAUAAUUCAUGAGAAGACAUUUCUGUCAAAGUGGAUGGUGAGCAAAGAUGGUGGCCACGUUUUGGAGCAGCACCUGGGUUUUGCAGGCCGCUAUGUAUUCUUUGGCUGUUUGUCUUUUUUCCCCAUUAUGUUUCUGUUGCCUAAAAAUCACAACAAAAUGCACUGCAAAACGUC